RNAcentral lists this ribosomal RNA (360 nucleotides) under Graphosoma lineatum (striped shield bug). Its description in RNAcentral is "partial 12S ribosomal RNA". The record is from RNAcentral. Lineage: Eukaryota; Metazoa; Arthropoda; Insecta; Hemiptera; Pentatomidae.
AAACUAGGAUUAGAUACCCUAUUAUUUUAAACUUAAAUUUUAUCCUCAGUAUUAUAAGUUAUGAUCUUUAAAUUGAAAGAAUUUGACGGUAAUUUUAAUCAUUUUAGAGGAACCUGUUCUGUAAUCGAUAAUCCACGAUAAAUUUUACUUUGAUUUUAUUGUUUGUAUAUCUCUGUCUGAUUGAAUGUUUUAUUAGAAUAUUUUCUUAAAUUUUUAUUGAAUUUUAUGUCAGGUCAAGGUGCAACUAUAUUAAAGUUUGAAAUGGGUUACAUUUAAUUUUAAAUUAUUGGUUUAGUUUAUUUAUUUAGACUAUUAAAUUGGAUUUAAUUGUAAUAGAUAAUAUAUAUUAUUAUGAUAAGC